UUUUUUUUUCACCCUUUUGUUCAAGGGAACCAGGAAUUUCAUACUCCCAGAUAAUCUGCGUUUGAGCAUAUUUCACGCUUAGAACAGCAACGUACCUCCAACCAUCAGCAAACACACAAUCCCACUUAAACCACUGACCUGGAGAUCUCCCUGUAUAGCUUACCUGUAUCACCUCCUCCAUUUCACUGUAGGACCAGGCAACUUACAUAUUUUAACUGCUUCAAAACUGCUGUAACCUAACAUCCCAAACUGUAGACUUAUAUAUCAUUUUCUCCAAAGAUACAUACACUAAAAAUAACAAAUGGGCAAGACAAUAUAUUUGAAUCAUUACUUUUGUUGAGUCAUCUGUUCACAACAGAUGAGGGUCUGGAAAAUAACCACAAUAAUAAUGACAGAUAAUAUAUUUAAGGAACAUAAAAUAUUACAUGAUAUUAAAGAGAAAACACUAAACUAUUUUCUUUCUUUUGACUUCUAACAAUGGGAGUGCACCUGCUAAAGUUAUUCAUUCUAAUUUGGUUAAACCAUUGCCAUUGUUAAGAAGGAACUGCUGGAGCACAGAAUUAAUGAUGGCAAUUACAAUUCCAAAAGCUAUAGAGAAAGGCAGUAAAUCAGACCAAACAGUACUAGAAAGAGAAGAGAAAUGGAAAAAAUAGAAGUAAUUGAGGAACACAAUACGCCAAAAUAAAAGAACAGGUCUUCAGAAAUGUUAGAAGAGUUCCUGUGGGAAAUACAAUGGGCAGAUUAAUUAAUUAGACACCCAAUGUAAUGUGAGUAAUAGGAAUAAAUGAACAGUAAGAUUCUAUCAUAGAAUCAUCAAAUCAUAGAAUGUUUUGGGUUGGAAGGGACCUUAAAGGUCAUCUUGUUCCAACCCCCUGCCAUAGGUAGGGACACUUUUCACUAGACCAGGUUGCUCAAAGCCCCAUCCAACCUGGCCUAUAUAUACAGGAAACGAAUACAAAAAUACAUGUACACUGAUAAACAUUUUUCCUUAAAAAUUUUAAACACUUCAGUUUUCAAUGGUAAAUAAAAAAUGUCACUGUGACAAAACAUUGUAUAGCACAAGAGGGGUAACAGAAAAAGAGAAUCUGUAGGUGGCAUUCAUGGUUAAAGAAUG
This 1114-nucleotide long non-coding RNA is filed under the name Strigops habroptila (Kakapo). RNAcentral describes it as "lncRNA (ENSSHBG00005013594.1)". The record is from RNAcentral. Lineage: Eukaryota; Metazoa; Chordata; Aves; Psittaciformes; Psittacidae.